Molecule: ribosomal RNA, 254 nt
Filed under: uncultured bacterium
Lineage: Bacteria
Description: partial 16S ribosomal RNA
Rfam family: Bacterial small subunit ribosomal RNA
Source: RNAcentral
UACGUAGGGCGCGAGCGUUGUCCGGAAUUAUUGGGCGUAAAGAGCUCGUAGGCGGCUCGGUAAGUCAGGUGUGAAACCUCCAGGCUCAACCUGGAGACGCCACCUGAUACUGCUGUGGCUAGAGUCCGGUAGGGGAGCGUGGAAUUCCUGGUGUAGCGGUGAAAUGCGCAGAUAUCAGGAGGAACACCAGCGGCGAAGGCGGCGCUCUGGGCCGGAACUGACGCUGAGGAGCGAAAGCGUGGGUAGCAAACAGG